RNAcentral lists this long non-coding RNA (352 nucleotides) under Cricetulus griseus (Chinese hamster). RNAcentral describes it as "lncRNA (ENSCGRG00000026469.1)". Lineage: Eukaryota; Metazoa; Chordata; Mammalia; Rodentia; Cricetidae. The record is from RNAcentral.
GAAAACAUGAAUGAUUACAAGAAAUAUAAAAUAAACUGCAUUUUGUUGUGUGUUAAAUCAAUCAGUAUGCCUUAUGCUAUAUAUUUUUGGAAUACUGUGGCUAAUGAUUUCCCUUUUCUCUAAAUGAUAGGGCUAUCAAAAAUUCAGGAAAACUUUUCCAUCACCACUAAAGAACUCAAGUUUGUAAAUAUGAAUCUCAUUGAAAAAGACAAUGUGAAAUUUAGUCUUGUUAUUGUUUCAUGUUUUACAAGUUUAAAUGGACACUACAGUGAUAACAGGUCAGUGGAUUUGGGCCAUGAUACUGACGGACUGAUUUAAUUGCACCAUGUUGAUCAUCUUCAAAGGCAUCUCC